UACAGCCAUUUUGUUCCAUUGACUGAGCACCUGUGAAGUGCCAGGGUACUGUGCUAAGUGUUUUCUGCAUUACAUCAUUCACCCUGACAGAUGCACUUCUGCCUCUGCUGGAAAAUGACAAGGAAGAGGAGGAGAGACACAGACACACAGGGAGAACGCCAUGUGAACAUGGAUGCAGAGAUUGGAGUGAUUCACCUGCUAGUCCAGGAACAUCCAGGGUUACUAUAGCACCAGAAGCCCUGUCCCAAGUCAUAUUAAUCCUGCUCUACAUAUGCUAAUGUGAGACAGCUUAAUCCAGGCAGCAGGGGAAGAGUUGAAACUUGGGUGUUCCAUAAGGAAUAGAGGUUCCAUCCAGACAAUUCCAGAAGUUACUCAGGAGCUACCACCCAGUAACUGAACACAUGCAUUUCUUUCAUGAGGACAUAGAAAG
Long non-coding RNA from Canis lupus familiaris (dog), 430 nucleotides. RefSeq lists it as uncharacterized. NCBI's taxonomy places the organism in Eukaryota, Metazoa, Chordata, Mammalia, Carnivora, Canidae. The transcript has 4 exons. The record is from RefSeq and is a predicted model, not a curated record.